AUAAUUCAAACAAAUUUAAAACAUCAUACUAAAUCGUAUGCAUAUGAAUGAAAUAAUAAUUAAAAAAAGGUUUUGACUAUAAAACGUGCAACGUUUUAUUAGCAUUGGACCAACAAUCGCCCGAAAUCGCAGCUGGAGUGCAUGAAAAUCGUGCCGAAGAAGAAAUCGGUGCCGGAGAUCAGGGUAUUAUGUUUGGAUAUGCCACCGAUGAAACAGAAGAAUGCAUGCCUUUAACUGUUGUUUUGGCUCACAAAUUGAAU
This is a long non-coding RNA of Teleopsis dalmanni, 260 nucleotides long. RefSeq lists it as uncharacterized. The transcript has 2 exons. The record is from RefSeq and is a predicted model, not a curated record. NCBI's taxonomy places the organism in Eukaryota, Metazoa, Arthropoda, Insecta, Diptera, Diopsidae.